RNAcentral lists this ribosomal RNA (252 nucleotides) under uncultured bacterium. Its description in RNAcentral is "partial 16S ribosomal RNA". It matches the Rfam family "Bacterial small subunit ribosomal RNA", at positions 524 to 775 of the family's 1533-position model. The record is from RNAcentral.
UACGUAGGGUGCAAGCGUUGUCCGGAAUUAUUGGGCGUAAAGAGCUCGUAGGCGGUUUGUCGCGUCUGCUGUGAAAACGCGAGGCUCAACCUCGCGCCUGCAGUGGGUACGGGCAGACUAGAGUGUGGUAGGGGAGAUUGGAAUUCCUGGUGUAGCGGUGGAAUGCGCAGAUAUCAGGAGGAACACCGAUGGCGAAGGCAGAUCUCUGGGCCAUUACUGACGCUGAGGAGCGAAAGCGUGGGGAGCGAACAG